UCUGGCACGCCUGCCCUGGUCGUUUAGAUACCUUGCUUAUUAAUCAGCAGUGCAAUCCCAGUUUUCCCAUGUGUUACAACAUGUGCAACAGGGUCUUACUA
Long non-coding RNA from Cebus imitator (Panamanian white-faced capuchin), 101 nucleotides. RefSeq lists it as uncharacterized. The transcript is spliced from 3 exons. Lineage: Eukaryota; Metazoa; Chordata; Mammalia; Primates; Cebidae. The record is from RefSeq and is a predicted model, not a curated record.